Molecule: ribosomal RNA, 254 nt
Filed under: uncultured bacterium
Lineage: Bacteria
Description: partial 16S ribosomal RNA
Rfam family: Bacterial small subunit ribosomal RNA
Source: RNAcentral
CGAAGGGGCUAGCGUUGCUCGGAAUCACUGGGCGUAAAGGGCGCGUAGGCGGCCGAUUAAGUCGGAGGUGAAAGCCUGUGGCUCAACCACAGAAUUGCCUUCGAUACUGGUUGGCUUGAGACCGGAAGAGGACAGCGGAACUGCGAGUGUAGAGGUGAAAUUCGUAGAUAUUCGCAAGAACACCAGUGGCGAAGGCGGCUGUCUGGUCCGGUUCUGACGCUGAGGCGCGAAAGCGUGGGGGAGCAAACAGGAUU